RNAcentral lists this ribosomal RNA (465 nucleotides) under uncultured bacterium. RNAcentral describes it as "partial 16S ribosomal RNA". It matches the Rfam family "Bacterial small subunit ribosomal RNA", at positions 28 to 507 of the family's 1533-position model. The record is from RNAcentral.
GACGAACGCUGGCGGCGUGCUUAACACAUGCAAGUCGAACGGAAAGGCCCUGCUUGCAGGGUACUCGAGUGGCGAGCGGGUGAGUAACACGUGGGUGAUCUGCCCUGCACUUCGGGAUAAGCCUGGGAAACUGGGUCUAAUACCGGAUAGGAGCCAUUUUUAGUGUGAUGGUUGGAAAGUUUUUUCGGUGUAGGAUGAGCUCGCGGCCUAUCAGCUUGUUGGUGGGGUAAUGGCCUACCAAGGCGGCGACGGGUAGCCGGCCUGAGAGGGUGGACGGCCACAUUGGGACUGAGAUACGGCCCAGACUCCUACGGGAGGCAUCAGUGGGGAAUAUUGCACAAUGGGCGCAAGCCUGAUGCAGCGACGCCGCGUGGGGGAUGACGGCCUUCGGGUUGUAAACUCCUUUCGCUAGGGACGAAGCUUUUUGUGACGGUACCUAGAUAAGAAGCACCGGCUAACUACGUG